RNAcentral lists this ribosomal RNA (253 nucleotides) under uncultured bacterium. Its description in RNAcentral is "partial 16S ribosomal RNA". It matches the Rfam family "Bacterial small subunit ribosomal RNA", at positions 524 to 776 of the family's 1533-position model. The record is from RNAcentral.
UACGUAGGGUGCGAGCGUUGUCCGGAAUUAUUGGGCGUAAAGGGCUCGUAGGCGGUCUGUCACGUCGGGAGUGAAAACUCGGGGCUUAACCCCGAGCCUGCAGUGGAUACGGGCAGACUAGAGGUAGGUAGGGGAGAAUGGAAUUCCCGGUGUAGCGGUGAAAUGCGCAGAUAUCGGGAGGAACACCGGUGGCGAAGGCGGUUCUCUGGGCCUUACCUGACGCUGAGGAGCGAAAGCGUGGGGAGCGAACAGG